This 222-nucleotide non-coding RNA is filed under the name Clostridia bacterium. RNAcentral's name for it is "6S RNA". It matches the Rfam family "6S / SsrS RNA". Rfam says of the family: E. coli 6S RNA was the first non coding RNA to be sequenced, but its function was unknown until recently. The record is from RNAcentral. Lineage: Bacteria; Bacillati; Bacillota; Clostridia.
UUUAUCCUGCUUAGUUUGUGAUUAACCGUAUUAGUGGAACCGACGUUAUUUUAAAGGGAGCUGAAAUAGAUUCGGCGGCUGUUUUGCAGACCUCCCCGUGCAUUCCUCGAUUGACUUGUCUCGACAGAUGCGCGGGACGUUGGGAGCAGUGAGGCCAAUGAUAGGCACCCACCUUGCUCGGCAGGGUUUCCGACGGCGGUUACACGGCUCGGCGGGGUCUUU